This 492-nucleotide ribosomal RNA is filed under the name uncultured bacterium. RNAcentral's name for it is "partial 16S ribosomal RNA". It matches the Rfam family "Bacterial small subunit ribosomal RNA", at positions 29 to 507 of the family's 1533-position model. The record is from RNAcentral.
AGUGAACGCUGGCGGUAGGCCUAACACAUGCAAGUCGAACGGCAGCACAGUAAGAGCUUGCUCUUACGGGUGGCGAGUGGCGGACGGGUGAGGAAUACAUCGGAAUCUACUUUUUCGUGGGGGAUAACGUAGGGAAACUUACGCUAAUACCGCAUACGACCUACGGGUGAAAGCAGGGGAUCUUCGGACCUUGCGCGAUUGAAUGAGCCGAUGUCGGAUUAGCUAGUUGGCGGGGUAAAGGCCCACCAAGGCGACGAUCCGUAGCUGGUCUGAGAGGAUGAUCAGCCAAACUGGAACUGAGAAACGGUCCAGACUCCUACGGGAGGCAGCAGUGGGGAAUAUUUGACAAUGGGCGCAAGCCUGAUCCAGCCAUACCGCGUGGGUGAAGAAGGCCUUCGGGUUGGAAAGCCCUUUUGUUGGGAAAGAAAAGCAGCAGGUUAAUACCCCGCUGUUCUGACGGUACCCAAAGAAUAAGCACCGGCUAACUUCGUG